AUUGAACGCUGGCGGCAUGCCUAACACAUGCAAGUCGAACGGCAGCACAGAGGAGCUUGCUCCUUGGGUGGCGAGUGGCGGACGGGUGAGUAAUGCAUCGGGACCUACCCAGGACGUGGGGGAUAACCUCGGGAAACCGGGACUAAUACCGCAUACGUCCUACGGGAGAAAGCGGGGGACCUUCGGGCCUCGCGCGGUUGGACGGACCGAUGUGCGAUUAGCUAGUUGGUAGGGUAAUGGCCUACCAAGGCGACGAUCGCUAGCUGGUCUGAGAGGAUGAUCAGCCACACUGGGACUGAGACACGGCCCAGACUCCUACGGGAGGCAGCAGUGGGGAAUAUUGGACAAUGGGCGCAAGCCUGAUCCAGCAAUGCCGCGUGUGUGAAGAAGGCCUUCGGGUUGUAAAGCACUUUUAUCAGGAGCGAAAUACCACGGGUUAAUACCUUGUGGGGCUGACGGUACCUGAGGAAUAAGCACCGGCUAACUUCGUG
RNAcentral lists this ribosomal RNA (491 nucleotides) under uncultured bacterium. RNAcentral's name for it is "bacterial SSU rRNA". It matches the Rfam family "Bacterial small subunit ribosomal RNA", at positions 30 to 507 of the family's 1533-position model. The record is from RNAcentral.